Small nuclear RNA from Molossus molossus (Pallas's mastiff bat), 105 nucleotides. The record is from RefSeq and is a predicted model, not a curated record. NCBI's taxonomy places the organism in Eukaryota, Metazoa, Chordata, Mammalia, Chiroptera, Molossidae.
GUGCUCGCUUCAGCAGCACAUAUACUAAAAUUGGAACGAUACAGAGAUUAGCAUGGCCCCUGCGCAAGGAAAAACAUGGGACCCCAAUAUAGGAAUUCAUGGUAU